This 1087-nucleotide ribosomal RNA is filed under the name Salmonella enterica subsp. enterica serovar Typhimurium. Its description in RNAcentral is "partial 23S ribosomal RNA". It matches the Rfam family "Bacterial large subunit ribosomal RNA", at positions 757 to 1757 of the family's 2925-position model. Lineage: Bacteria; Pseudomonadati; Pseudomonadota; Gammaproteobacteria; Enterobacterales; Enterobacteriaceae. The record is from RNAcentral.
UAACACUAACUGGAGGACCGAACCGACUAAUGUUGAAAAAUUAGCGGAUGACCUGUGGCUGGGGGUGAAAGGCCAAUCAAACCGGGAGAUAGCUGGUUCUCCCCGAAAGCUAUUUAGGUAGCGCCUCGUGAAUUCAUCUCCGGGGGUAGAGCACUGUUUCGGCUAGGGGGCCAUCCCGGCUUACCAACCCGAUGCAAACUGCGAAUACCGGAGAAUGUUAUCACGGGAGACACACGGCGGGUGCUAACGUCCGUCGUGAAGAGGGAAACAACCCAGACCGCCAGCUAAGGUCCCAAAGUCAUGGUUAAGUGGGAAACGAUGUGGGAAGGCCCAGACAGCCAGGAUGUUGGCUUAGAAGCAGCCAUCAUUUAAAGAAAGCGUAAUAGCUCACUGGUCGAGUCGGCCUGCGCGGAAGAUGUAACGGGGCUAAACCAUGCACCGAAGCUGCGGCAGCGAACGUAUCACCCAAGACAACUUUACGGAGUUGACGAUUGACGGAGCGAAGCGACGUCAAAGCGUUCAUUAAAGUCGAGUUGGCUUAGGGAUACGUUCGUUGGGUAGGGGAGCGUUCUGUAAGCCUGUGAAGGUGUGUCGUGAGGCAUGCUGGAGGUAUCAGAAGUGCGAAUGCUGACAUAAGUAACGAUAAAGCGGGUGAAAAGCCCGCUCGCCGGAAGACCAAGGGUUCCUGUCCAACGUUAAUCGGGGCAGGGUGAGUCGACCCCUAAGGCGAGGCCGAAAGGCGUAGUCGAUGGGAAACGGGUUAAUAUUCCCGUACUUGGUGUUACUGCGAAGGGGGGACGGAGAAGGCUAUGUUGGCCGGGCGACGGUUGUCCCGGUUUAAGCGUGUAGGUGUGUGUUCCAGGUAAAUCCGGUUCACUUUAACACUGAGGCGUGACGACGAGGCACUACGGUGCUGAAGCAACAAAUGCCCUGCUUCCAGGAAAAGCCUCUAAGCAUCAGGUAACACGAAAUCGUACCCCAAACCGACACAGGUGGUCAGGUAGAGAAUACCAAGGCGCUUGAGAGAACUCGGGUGAAGGAACUAGGCAAAAUGGUGCCGUAACUUCGGGAGAAGGCACGCUGACAC